Molecule: non-coding RNA, 61 nt
Filed under: Plasmodium falciparum 3D7
Lineage: Eukaryota; Apicomplexa; Aconoidasida; Haemosporida; Plasmodiidae
Source: RNAcentral
CAACUCCUGUAUUACUUUCAAAGACUGUAAGUAAUUUGUUCUCUUCUUUCUUUUUAUCGUA